CAGCCGCCGCGGUAAUACGUAGGUGGCAAGCGUUGUCCGGAUUUAUUGGGCGUAAAGCGAGCGCAGGCGGUCAAUUAAGUCUGAUGUGAAAGCCCCCGGCUCAACCGGGGAGGGUCAUUGGAAACUGGUUGACUUGAGUGCAGAAGAGGAGAGUGGAAUUCCAUGUGUAGCGGUGAAAUGCGUAGAUAUAUGGAGGAACACCAGUGGCGAAGGCGACUCUCUGGUCUGUAACUGACGCUGAGGCUCGAAAGCGUGGGUAGCAAACAGGAUUAGAUACCCGUGUAGUCCCUGUCUCUUAUAU
This 301-nucleotide ribosomal RNA is filed under the name uncultured bacterium. RNAcentral describes it as "partial 16S ribosomal RNA". It matches the Rfam family "Bacterial small subunit ribosomal RNA", at positions 509 to 809 of the family's 1533-position model. The record is from RNAcentral.